AAGCGAGUCACGCGCUCUAAUCCCCGCUUCGCGCCGCCGUCACCAGCGGACGUUGGGGGUCCUCCUCUGCAACGCGUCCCCUCGGAGUCAUAAGGAGCUUAGAUGACGCAGCAUUUUUCAUGGCUUGUUUGUUUCUUUUGAUCCUGGCUGAGGUUAUUUCGCACACGAACACGGGCUUUUGACAAAUAAAGUGCAGGUACACGGCAAUGUAUCUUACACUGAGCCAUUUUAGCACCACGAAAUACAACAUAGAGGUUGUACUCGAAGGUGUUGGAGCCAAACACAGAUGCCAGGGAUCUGUGAGGAGAACUCUCAUCGUCAACGGUGUCCCGUGAGCCACGUUAUGCAAGUUACUGAUGGGACUGUGUGUGAAACGUUUCUGCUCCUACACCGCCACCUGGUGGUCACCUCACGUACAACAAAACAUGCAAAGAAAACAAAUUACGUUACAUUUAGUGUACAUAUACUGCAAAACAGACUAUCCUGUCAAUGUCAAAACAAUUUUAAUUCACAAAAAUACAUUGACCAAUAUAAUGAAAAUGUACUAAAAUGUACUUUAAUAAUCCAUAAAAGCUGGAACAUCAUUGACAGAAAAACACAAGAAGCAUCAUUAGAGUUGGUUUAGUAUAAUAUAUUUCAGCUUCAAGAGACAUAGAAAUCAAUCCGUAUUUUCCCCAUAUUUCUUCUAUAAAAGACCCAUUUUUUCUGAAGCAUUAUUAUGCAAAAAAUGGCAUUAGAAUAUAUUAUGGGAGCUAUGAAAUCCCAGUGACUGAGUAUAAAAUUAAGUCACAUUAGAGAGAGAUAUUUGCAGAAGAGAAGUCCAUGAACAACAGGGCAAAGAAAAAAACAUAAAAAUAAUAAUACAUAUUAUAGACCUUGAUCUAUCAUCACUGACAUGACAGGCAUGAAGAAUAGGUGUAUGGCUAUAAAAGAUUUCUCACUUUUCCACUUGAAAACAUCUACACUUAAUAACUGAUGCAUUUUUUCAUGCUUGCUUUUGAAGAAUAUUUAUAAUCAUACAACUAAAGAGGUCAUUCUUGUCUUUCAAAUACAAUAUUGAUAUUGAAGAGAUGUAAAAUACUGAAGCCAAGUUCUAAUUUUAGUUUUUUUUUUGUUAUCCUGCCAAAAUAAA
Molecule: long non-coding RNA, 1132 nt
Organism: Betta splendens (Siamese fighting fish)
Lineage: Eukaryota; Metazoa; Chordata; Actinopteri; Anabantiformes; Osphronemidae
Exons: 2
Source: RefSeq, a predicted model, not a curated record